CACAUUUAUGAAGCCUGGAAUGAGGCGGAGCUAAUGCUAAACUAAACAGGAGGGCUGGGGUUAGCACAGUCACAUGACCUCACGGCCAGAGCCAAUCAGGCUCC
Long non-coding RNA from Salarias fasciatus (jewelled blenny), 104 nucleotides. RefSeq lists it as uncharacterized. The record is from RefSeq and is a predicted model, not a curated record. Lineage: Eukaryota; Metazoa; Chordata; Actinopteri; Blenniiformes; Blenniidae. The transcript is spliced from 3 exons.